Klebsiella pneumoniae subsp. pneumoniae MGH 78578 is the source of this 1540-nucleotide non-coding RNA. Lineage: Bacteria; Pseudomonadati; Pseudomonadota; Gammaproteobacteria; Enterobacterales; Enterobacteriaceae. The record is from Rfam.
AAAUUGAAGAGUUUGAUCAUGGCUCAGAUUGAACGCUGGCGGCAGGCCUAACACAUGCAAGUCGAGCGGUAGCACAGAGAGCUUGCUCUCGGGUGACGAGCGGCGGACGGGUGAGUAAUGUCUGGGAAACUGCCUGAUGGAGGGGGAUAACUACUGGAAACGGUAGCUAAUACCGCAUAAUGUCGCAAGACCAAAGUGGGGGACCUUCGGGCCUCAUGCCAUCAGAUGUGCCCAGAUGGGAUUAGCUAGUAGGUGGGGUAACGGCUCACCUAGGCGACGAUCCCUAGCUGGUCUGAGAGGAUGACCAGCCACACUGGAACUGAGACACGGUCCAGACUCCUACGGGAGGCAGCAGUGGGGAAUAUUGCACAAUGGGCGCAAGCCUGAUGCAGCCAUGCCGCGUGUGUGAAGAAGGCCUUCGGGUUGUAAAGCACUUUCAGCGGGGAGGAAGGCGGUGAGGUUAAUAACCUCAUCGAUUGACGUUACCCGCAGAAGAAGCACCGGCUAACUCCGUGCCAGCAGCCGCGGUAAUACGGAGGGUGCAAGCGUUAAUCGGAAUUACUGGGCGUAAAGCGCACGCAGGCGGUCUGUCAAGUCGGAUGUGAAAUCCCCGGGCUCAACCUGGGAACUGCAUUCGAAACUGGCAGGCUAGAGUCUUGUAGAGGGGGGUAGAAUUCCAGGUGUAGCGGUGAAAUGCGUAGAGAUCUGGAGGAAUACCGGUGGCGAAGGCGGCCCCCUGGACAAAGACUGACGCUCAGGUGCGAAAGCGUGGGGAGCAAACAGGAUUAGAUACCCUGGUAGUCCACGCCGUAAACGAUGUCGAUUUGGAGGUUGUGCCCUUGAGGCGUGGCUUCCGGAGCUAACGCGUUAAAUCGACCGCCUGGGGAGUACGGCCGCAAGGUUAAAACUCAAAUGAAUUGACGGGGGCCCGCACAAGCGGUGGAGCAUGUGGUUUAAUUCGAUGCAACGCGAAGAACCUUACCUGGUCUUGACAUCCACAGAACUUAGCAGAGAUGCUUUGGUGCCUUCGGGAACUGUGAGACAGGUGCUGCAUGGCUGUCGUCAGCUCGUGUUGUGAAAUGUUGGGUUAAGUCCCGCAACGAGCGCAACCCUUAUCCUUUGUUGCCAGCGGUUAGGCCGGGAACUCAAAGGAGACUGCCAGUGAUAAACUGGAGGAAGGUGGGGAUGACGUCAAGUCAUCAUGGCCCUUACGACCAGGGCUACACACGUGCUACAAUGGCAUAUACAAAGAGAAGCGACCUCGCGAGAGCAAGCGGACCUCAUAAAGUAUGUCGUAGUCCGGAUUGGAGUCUGCAACUCGACUCCAUGAAGUCGGAAUCGCUAGUAAUCGUAGAUCAGAAUGCUACGGUGAAUACGUUCCCGGGCCUUGUACACACCGCCCGUCACACCAUGGGAGUGGGUUGCAAAAGAAGUAGGUAGCUUAACCUUCGGGAGGGCGCUUACCACUUUGUGAUUCAUGACUGGGGUGAAGUCGUAACAAGGUAACCGUAGGGGAACCUGCGGUUGGAUCACCUCCUUA